Molecule: ribosomal RNA, 329 nt
Filed under: uncultured eukaryote
Lineage: Eukaryota
Description: partial 18S ribosomal RNA
Rfam family: Eukaryotic small subunit ribosomal RNA
Source: RNAcentral
CCCUUAGAUGUCCUGGACCGCACGCGCGCUACACUGAGUGUCUGAGAUACGAGUCUGCCUGGUCCGGCAAGGUCUAGGUAAUCGCUAAAAGACACAUCAUGCUUGGGAUAGAUUAUUGCAAAUAUUAAUCUUGAACGAGGAAUUCCUAGUAAGCGCAAGUCAACAGCUUGCGUUGAUUACGUCCCUGCCCUUUGUACACACCGCCCGUCGCUACUACUGAUUGGAUGUUUAAGCGAGGUUCUCGAACUGCUAGCGACUUAGCUUCGGUGAGGUCGCAGUGUGGGAAGUGAACCGAGCUUUGGUGUCUAGAGGAAGUAAAAGUCGUAACA